RNAcentral lists this ribosomal RNA (253 nucleotides) under uncultured bacterium. RNAcentral describes it as "partial 16S ribosomal RNA". It matches the Rfam family "Bacterial small subunit ribosomal RNA", at positions 524 to 776 of the family's 1533-position model. The record is from RNAcentral.
UACGAAGGGGGCUAGCGUUGCUCGGAGUCACUGGGCGUAAAGGGUGCGUAGGCGGGUCUUUAAGUCAGGGGUGAAAUCCUGGAGCUCAACUCCAGAACUGCCUUUGAUACUGAGGAUCUUGAGUUCGGGAGAGGUGAGUGGAACUGCGAGUGUAGAGGUGAAAUUCGUAGAUAUUCGCAAGAACACCAGUGGCGAAGGCGGCUCACUGGCCCGAUACUGACGCUGAGGUGCGAAAGCGUGGGGAGCAAACAGG